UACAGCCAUAUCAUGUUGAAACACAGGUUCCCAUAUGAUCACCGAGGUUAAGCAAUGUUUAGCCUGGUCAGUACCUAGAUGGGAAACUGCUUGGGAAAACCAGGUGCUGUAAG
Non-coding RNA from Acanthosepion pharaonis, 113 nucleotides. NCBI's taxonomy places the organism in Eukaryota, Metazoa, Mollusca, Cephalopoda, Sepiida, Sepiidae. The record is from the annotation of a GenBank genome assembly.